GUCAAUUAUGUCUUCAGAUGUUUGGUGAGCCCUCCAUUGAUUUGUAAUUGAAUUAUAGAUUUGGAUCUCCUUUGCAACAUGGGUUGUCUUCUUUUGAAAUGAGUCUGCGGUUUUUAUCCUGCGGGUGAUGUCUGUCAUCGCUCACCAAAACAACACCAUUUCCCUCUUCCAGUCUUCCCUUCUUUCACUUUUUUGCCCCUG
RNAcentral lists this unclassified non-coding RNA (201 nucleotides) under Hevea brasiliensis (rubber tree). Lineage: Eukaryota; Viridiplantae; Streptophyta; Magnoliopsida; Malpighiales; Euphorbiaceae. The record is from RNAcentral.